This 497-nucleotide ribosomal RNA is filed under the name uncultured bacterium. RNAcentral's name for it is "partial 16S ribosomal RNA". It matches the Rfam family "Bacterial small subunit ribosomal RNA", at positions 28 to 507 of the family's 1533-position model. The record is from RNAcentral.
GAUGAACGCUGGCGGCGUGCCUAAUACAUGCAAGUCGAGCGAACAGAUAAGGAGCUUGCUCCUUUGACGUUAGCGGCGGACGGGUGAGUAACACGUGGGUAACCUAUCUAUAAGACUGGAAUAACUCCGGGAAACCGGGGCUAAUGCCGGAUAACAUGUUGAACCGCAUGGUUCUACAGUGAAAGGCGGCUUUGCUGUCACUUAUAGAUGGACCCGCGCCGUAUUAGCUAGUUGGUGAGGUAACGGCUCACCAAGGCAACGAUACGUAGCCGACCUGAGAGGGUGAUCGGCCACACUGGAACUGAGACACGGUCCAGACUCCUACAGGAGGCAGCAGUAGGGAAUCUUCCGCAAUGGGCGAAAGCCUGACGGAGCAACGCCGCGUGAGUGAUGAAGGUCUUCGGAUCGUAAAACUCUGUUAUUAGGGAAGAACAAAUGCGUAAGUAACUGUGCGCGUCUUGACGGUACCUAAUCAGAAAGCCACGGCUAACUACGUG